AUGCUUCAUUUGGAAUGCUAUAACUCUUUAGAUGCUGAUCUUUCUGCAAUGACUCUGGUAGUUCAGCAUCCGACGGUAGAACAAAGUCCACUGCCUGGAGAGUGGCUGGCUGAUGUACUGCAGUUGCUUGGUUCUCCAGAUUUGAUUCUUGAUGAACUUGACAAGUCUUCCUUGGGCCGGUAUCCUACUGGGCUGGUGAUGGAUGGCAUUGUCCCUCAAUAUAGAGCUAUGGCCAAGGAGGUGGCAGUUUGUGACAUGUCCUGUUGACUUCAGCAACGGUUGACUUUUAAGUGUCAUUUAUUCAGCAUACUGAGGUGAGAAUUUUUGUGCAAUGUGUAACAAAGUAAUGUGAAUUUUACUCUUUGAACAAAAUAUCACACUUUGACAUGCUGCAGACCUUGAUAUCACGCCUAUGCCCUUUUGGGUUCUGGCCUCAAAAAACUAAAACUGGUGCAAUUUCUAGGUUCAGCUAGGAUGUUUUCAAGGCUUUACAAAAUAUUACUAGGAUUUUCUCUGAAAUAAUCUGCAUUUUCUGCUCUAAAGAUAAACAUAUCUUUCAGAAAAGACUGAAAGUCUUCAAAUGAUAGAGGGUAACACCUGGCACACUUCAUCAUGAGCUGUGGUUUAACAAACCUCUCGUUUUGUUCUUUUCUUUUUCCCUGGUUAUAUUAUAACUCCCAGAAUCCCAGCCUCUGGAUCUUGUUAUGCUGCUUUGUUCCAGUUCUGAUCUAACCUGUAUCUGAAAUCUUGUCCCCAGUUAUGUUGUGACAGGUAGGAAGUGCCAGUCUUGUAAAGCAGACGCUACGUAACGUGGUAAAAUAGAAAGAGC
RNAcentral lists this long non-coding RNA (829 nucleotides) under Phasianus colchicus (ring-necked pheasant). RNAcentral's name for it is "lncRNA (ENSPCLG00000019137.1)". Lineage: Eukaryota; Metazoa; Chordata; Aves; Galliformes; Phasianidae. The record is from RNAcentral.